RNAcentral lists this ribosomal RNA (253 nucleotides) under uncultured bacterium. RNAcentral's name for it is "partial 16S ribosomal RNA". It matches the Rfam family "Bacterial small subunit ribosomal RNA", at positions 524 to 776 of the family's 1533-position model. The record is from RNAcentral.
CACGUAGGGUGCGAGCGUUGUCCGGAAUUAUUGGGCGUAAAGAGCUUGUAGGCGGUCUGUCGCGUCUGCUGUGAAAAUCCGGGGCUCAACCCCGGACUUGCAGUGGGUACGGGCAGACUAGAGUGUGGUAGGGGAGACUGGAAUUCCUGGUGUAGCGGUGAAAUGCGCAGAUAUCAGGAGGAACACCGAUGACGAAGGCAGGUCUCUGGGCCACUACUGACGCUGAGAAGCGAAAGCAUGGGGAGCGAACAGG